GCGCUUGCUUCCCGGAAAAAAAAGUGAUAUCUAACCCUAAAGGAGCCCUGCUGUGACGGGUGCUGUGUCAUCAGAUGAAAGCAAAACAUUUUUAAAGGAAAUAUGGAAGCAAUCCAUCAUACAGGAGUAAAUGGAGAGGCAAACUGUUAAAAAUUCACACCAUGUCAUAUGGGGCAGCAAAACAAAGUGACUUCCUGGGAAAUAGGGAGCUCUCGGGUUGAACCCCCAGCUGGCCUAGUCUUGGAACACAGAGGAGCUGUAGUAAAAAGGGCAGAGCAGGCUCAUUUUGACUAUGCCUUCUAAUGUGGGAAGUGACAUCCUUCAUAUCUUCUACAAUUCUGUGAUGGCCUGUGCGAUUUUCUACUAUGUGUUGUGCUUGGCUGGUAACAGCACUUCAAGAGAGGACCACCGAAUUGACAGGCUAAGUAAAAUGGCAAGCUCAGUUAAGGAACGCUUUCUGGGUCCCCAGGAUGUAGCAGCAAAAGAGAGAAUUUAUACAAAACUAAAUUCCAUUUUGAACAAUGCUGCAGUUUCUCUCUCUGACCACUACUUUCAGCCAACAAAUUAUUCAGCAGAAGUGUGUCAAGAAACACUACUGGGGUUCCUUCAUACCAACAGCAGAACAUUUGCAUAAGGCCUCACUGCGAAUGGAACUGCACUUUUUAUCUUUAGCCAAGUUACAAGAUCUAUCGAUCAAUCGAGUAAUAAUGGCACAAUAUGAAGGAAAACAAAAGUCUGAAUUAGCAUAAGUCCUCCAAAUUCAGGGUUGUCACAUGUAAAGACUUCCUUUGUGGAUAUACUGUAUAACUGCAUAAUAAACGAGAAAUAGUUGUGACAAA
This is a long non-coding RNA of Erpetoichthys calabaricus (reedfish), 839 nucleotides long. RefSeq lists it as uncharacterized. NCBI's taxonomy places the organism in Eukaryota, Metazoa, Chordata, Cladistia, Polypteriformes, Polypteridae. The transcript has 2 exons. The record is from RefSeq and is a predicted model, not a curated record.